This 1505-nucleotide long non-coding RNA is filed under the name Anser brachyrhynchus (Pink-footed goose). Its description in RNAcentral is "lncRNA (ENSABRG00000019425.1)". Lineage: Eukaryota; Metazoa; Chordata; Aves; Anseriformes; Anatidae. The record is from RNAcentral.
CUUACAGCGGCCACGGUCGUGCACAGGGGAUGGUGACAGCAAAGCCUCUGCACCGGCUGCAUCCCUGCCCGAGCUGACUCCCUCCAGCCCGAGUGGUGAAAAUCGUGGGCGAGACGGGCGUAACAAAGCGUGCAAGCCACGGCAUGGCCUGGUUUUCCAUCUCUGUCCAUGGCAGUGCGAUUCACCCAGAAGGGGGAGAUAUCAGCCUGCGUGCUGCGGCUGCGAGCCCGUGUGGCGGCUCCCACUUGAAAUUUGUCUGACGGGGAGAUUUCUGCACAAACCGUGCAAUUUGGUGCUGGAGCACGCUGGACCUCAUCUGCUUAAAAAGAUGCACAGAUAUAGUCAUCACACUUCAUAAUUUAAUAAACUGCUAAAAAAUUGCACACGUUUUCAUUUUAGCAACUUAGGUCCCGCAACUAAACUCACGAUGCUACAAAGACAUUUGAAUUUUUCACUAAUAUGUCAUGAGCGCUGCACCCAUUGCAAAUUAAUGAGUCUCUGAAUAGCACUGUGCAUUUGUCAUUUGAAUUUAUGCUAAUGCGCUGAGGUCUCCUGAUGAUGUUGAUAGUCCACAGCAGCUGCUCAAACUAUAGAAUGCACACGCAUGUUCCUCCACUUUUUAUUCAUCUUUCCUUGGAUUUUUCUGGUCUAUCAUUUGGGCUGCGGUCCUGCAGCUGGUUAUUGAUAGGGCUGCUAAUUAUCUUUGACUUUACACUACAGGCUUGACCCCCAACACCGCGCAGAAGUAAUGGAUCAGUGCUGAGAGGAUCGUGUACAUCACACGGCAGCAGCCUCAGACCAGCGGGUCAAGAGGAGUUCAUUGAGAACCGAUGGUAUUUACAAAGAAUUGUUGGCAUGGUAACUGGUAACUUUUUUUUUUCUUUUUUUUUCCAACUUCCAAAUAAAUUACACCGAGUAUAAUUUAAGUACAACAAUUAAACGCAAUAACGAGGUCGUGGCUGUGCUCGUAUACAGCACGUAUGGUGGAGGAUGGCAUCUUCCUCUUCCUGCCCAUAGGAAAGAAGCCAAAUCCCAUCUCCCACCCUUCCCACCCAGGAUGGGACAGUGGCCACAAGGUGCUGUUUGAUUUCUGGGUGAAAGCCUCCCUACCCGCAGCUCAGGGCAGCGCGGAUCCACAUGGGGUCCUGCCAAGGAAACAAAGAAGAACCCGAGGGGAAAGCUCCUGCAGACUCUACCGUGCAGAAGCCAGGCAUCUCUGGUAACAAACCUCCUCACAUCAGGAUAAGCCAGCACGUUAUAAGGCAGUGGUGGACGAAAUCAUUGGAGUGAUCCAACAGAGGACUACAGAGUAUUUAUGGUGGCUGAUCCUGGUAAUUCGUUGUGCUAGCCAUGUGUGUUGCUGAACGUGCAACACUCGAGCAUCUCUCGAGGCACUGAGAAGACUCUCAGAAGCUAUAAAAACUUUUCUGGGCUCCUCGAGUCCUUUGUGUUAAAGACUUGUGAUCGUUUUAUAUCUGUCUCUUUGCUGUUUUUUUAAGCAGAGA